This 1608-nucleotide long non-coding RNA is filed under the name Musa acuminata (dwarf banana). Its description in RNAcentral is "long non-coding RNA (MACU_LNC001015)". Lineage: Eukaryota; Viridiplantae; Streptophyta; Magnoliopsida; Zingiberales; Musaceae. The record is from RNAcentral.
AAUUUAUCUGUAAUUCUAGAACUAAAAUACCACAAAUACGAAAGAGGGGGGAAUUUAUAUGGCAAGGUUAACGAUGAAUACUUUUGUUGAAAGAAAAAAAAAAUGUAUCAUGAUGCAUAUGUGAGACUUAUGAUCACAUCUCAACUGUAUCUUGCAUAAUGUGUGGGCUAUCUUCAAACGACUGCCAUGAACCCCCACCACUAUGUUGAAUCUCGGAUUUUGAUGAUGAAACCAAUCGAUAAGUGUUUAUGUUUUAAUCUGCAUUUUGAGUGACGCAGGAUGCUUCGAUCAAGAUGAGACAAUUAAAGCAGGAAGAAUCAUGUUGUGCCGGAGGAAAACAUGUCAGAAGAUUGGACGUCGGACCGGUGGAUCGGUCGACGUAUCGACAAAAGGCUUCGGGCCGUGGAUUCGGGCAUCGGGCCAAGAAGAACGGAUAUUGCGCCAAGGAUAUCGGAGUUGCGGAGUCAACUAGCCGAUUGGGCAAUAGGACGCAAGAGAGAACGAUGCGCCGAAGAAUCGGACGAAGCGUCGAGGGACCAAUGACAUGCCGAACAACUUGAUUAAUGCUUAGUAUUAAUUGUCUAGAUCGAAGUAUGUUUUACAUGUGCAGGAUUAACUACGAUAGCAAGGCAUGAAACAAAAUGAAGUCUCGAAGUCAAGAACGCGAUUACGUUGGGAGUUCGAGAGUUCGUCGGAAGUCUGGAUGUUCGUCGGAAGUUCUGGAGGAACGAGCCGAGAAGUCUAGGAGCUUGCCAGAGAAGCUCGUAGGAACUCGCCAAGAAGAUCGUUGUGAAGUCCAGGAGCUUGCCGGGAGUCCGUCGGAACAUUGCCGAGAGAUCGUCGGAAGUUCGCCGGAAGCUCGCCAGAAGAAUAGACAUAGGGACUCGUUUAGCUUAACAAACGUCUUAGGAUUUCGUAGUUAGCAUGUAAUUGGGCUUGGAUUUGGACCAACCCAAUUAGGGGCUACAAUCUUAUUAGAAAUUCCCUUCUACCAACUCUAAGUGUUAGAAUUCUGUUUAAGAGAGGAGAGUGAGUGCUUGUAAGGGUUAUCUCCUAAACCCGGUAAAAGGAGAAGAGAGGUGUAAAAGGUGAUUGGCCUUCGCCUAUUGAAGGAAGGCCUCUAAUGUACGCCGAUGAUCUCGUCGGAGGAGGAAGCCGAAAGUAGAUGUAGGUCACGUUCACCGAACCACUCUAAAACUUUGGUUUGCAUUUACUUAUUGCUAUUUACCUUACUUCAAACCUCUAUAUGUGCUUUACUUCCUCAUUACUUUUGCUGCACACCUUUACGAACACGCUUUCAAGUUAAGAUAUUUCCGAGAUCGGUUGAAACGAUUUUUAUCGUACGAAAGUUUUAAACCGACGUUAUUUUACCGCUGCACUAAUUCACCCCCCCUCUUAGUGCCGACCCUUGAUCCUAACACACUAGGGUACAGUUUUGGAUGGUCAUGAUGCACAUUAAUUGAAAAAUACAACACAGUGAUUUAAAACCCAAGUGAACUAAUUAUUUUAUUAUGAAGGUGAAAAAUCUAGUGCAAGAGGCUCUCACAAAUAUCUAUAUCACAAAGGAAGGAUCUUACCAUUGUGCUGAUGUCAAAAAAAUAGAAGAAA